Molecule: non-coding RNA, 73 nt
Organism: Cordylochernes scorpioides
Lineage: Eukaryota; Metazoa; Arthropoda; Arachnida; Pseudoscorpiones; Chernetidae
Source: the annotation of a GenBank genome assembly
AUCCAGGGAUGGGAAUCGAACCCACAGUGUUCUGCUUACUGGGCAGAUGCCAUGUCCACUAGGCUACCCUGGA